This is a long non-coding RNA of Ochotona princeps (American pika), 1165 nucleotides long. RefSeq lists it as uncharacterized. The transcript is spliced from 3 exons. The record is from RefSeq and is a predicted model, not a curated record. NCBI's taxonomy places the organism in Eukaryota, Metazoa, Chordata, Mammalia, Lagomorpha, Ochotonidae.
AGAAGAGCACAUAUUCAAAUGUGUUUCCCAAAGCUUGUUUCAUUGAAGAGAUUUUGCUGAGUGCUCCAGGGGACAGGGGUGAGGGCGGGGGCAGGAGGGCAAGAGGUGUCCUCUGCUGGUUCCGAUGGACUGCCAUAUCCUACACGUGCACCUGGCUAUGCUGCCCGCUGCUCCAUCUGAGCCUGCUUUCCCAGGUCACAAGCAGGGAACUGGAUGGGAAGUGGAGCUGCCAGGAUUAGAACUGGUACCCAUAUGGGAUCCUGGUGCAUUCAACGCGAGGACUUUAGCUGCUAGGCCACUGCGCUGGGCCCUAUUGUUCAGCUUUUAAUAAAGAGGAAUGAAGUACUGAAAUAUGAAAGGAAUUGGCGCUAUGGCAUAGAGGCUUAAUCUACCACCUGCAGUGCUAGUAUUUCUUAUGGCAUUUUCUGGCUGCUCCACUUUCAAUCCAACUUCCUGUUAAUGUACCUGGGAAAGCAGUGGAGGAUGACCCAAGUGCAUGGGGUUUUACAUGCAUGUAGGAGACCCAGAACCUCUGGCCUUCUGGCUUCGGUGUGGCCUAGUCCUGGCCAUUGCAACCAUUUAGGGUGUGAACCAGUGGACAGAAAACCUCUCAGUUUCUCCUUAUCCAUAUAUCUCUGCCUUUGAAACAAGAAAGAAAAGAAAUAUGCAGCAAUGUGAAUGAGUCUUACAGGCUUUCAGUUAAUACAAGAAGCCAGUGUCAGAAGGUUCCAUACUGCUUAAACCUACUGAUACGGCAUGUCAUGUGUGAAAAGCAGAACUGUCUGGAUAAAGAACAGAGCAGUCAUUACCAAGGAUGAGAAUUCAACUAAAAAAGAAACUGGGGAGUGGGGAGAAGGGUAUAGUCAGCUUUCUGUCACCAUAACUGAAACAUGUGAGAAAAAGUAAUUAAGAAAUAGACUGGGGCUGGACCUGUGGCACUGGUAUCCAAUAUGGACACUGGUUUGAGUCCUGCUUGUAUCCUGGGCAAGCAGCAGAGGAUGGUCGAAAGCCUUUGUAUUCUAAAUCCAUGUUGGAGACUUGGAGUUAGCUCCUGGCUCCUGACUUCAGAUCAGCUCAGCUCUGGCCAUUGUGGCCAUUUGCAACCGAUAGAAGAGCUUCUCUGUCUCUCCUUCUCUCUGUAAAAUCUACUGACCCAUUAAAAAUA